UAACUAUAAAUGGUUGACACUGCGAAAGGCUCAUUACAUCAGUCGCGUUCGAAGCAGUCUUGCGACCCGAGGUCGGCAAAUGGAUAACCGUGGAAAUGCUAGAGCUAAUACAUGCAAAAAGCGCCGACUGAUCGUUUCGGCGGUCGGAAGGCGCGCAUUUAUCACUGUACUGCGUCGGUCGCGCGAAAGCGUGCCAACGAGUGCUGACUCUGGAUAACUGUGAAAGAUCGCCGCCUUCAAUGCGGCGGCGACGGAUUGCUCAAACGUCUGUCCUAUCAACUUUCGUCGGUACGGUCCCGGCCUACCGAGGUGCUCACGGGUGACGGGGAAUCAGGGUUCGAUUCCGGAGAGGGAGCCCGAGAAACGGCUGCCACUUCCAAGGAAGGCAGCAGGCGCGCAAAUUACCCACUUCACAAAAAAGCGCGAGUGAGAGGUAGUGACGAGAAAUACCGUUGGCGGGCCUUAACGGGCGCCGUCAAUCGGAAUGAGAACAGUCCAGAAAGCUGGCCGACCGUGUCGGACGAAGCCCUUCGCGGGGCCGAGUCGGCGGUCUUUCGAGUAUCGAUCGGAGGGCAGCCUGGUGCCGCAGCCGCGGUAACUCCAGCUCCGAAAGUGUACGCUUAGUUGUUGUGGUUGAAAGCUCCUAGUCGAAGUGGUGCUCGAGCUUUCGAUGCGGGUGUCUCCGUCGUCGUUCAGUCGGCGGCGGAAUGCUCGUCACGCGUAAGAGAGAGAGAACGAAAUCGGGCGGCCGAGGUUCGCAUUUAUUUGCAACGCUCGACGGCCGUUCCCGGAAAGUUAGCCUGUCACAAUGCUGGUGAAUCAGGGCGGGUCAAAUCGACGACCCAGAAGUACGAGACAUGGUACCAAUGAAAAGGGCUGCGCGG
RNAcentral lists this ribosomal RNA (884 nucleotides) under Diplosoma sp. AO-2016. Its description in RNAcentral is "bacterial SSU rRNA". It matches the Rfam family "Eukaryotic small subunit ribosomal RNA", at positions 68 to 835 of the family's 1831-position model. The record is from RNAcentral. Lineage: Eukaryota; Metazoa; Chordata; Ascidiacea; Aplousobranchia; Didemnidae.